RNAcentral lists this ribosomal RNA (460 nucleotides) under uncultured Methylomirabilota bacterium. Its description in RNAcentral is "bacterial SSU rRNA". It matches the Rfam family "Bacterial small subunit ribosomal RNA", at positions 977 to 1434 of the family's 1533-position model. The record is from RNAcentral. Lineage: Bacteria; Methylomirabilota (SeqCode).
GGGCUUGACAUCCCACGAACCUGCCUGAAAGGGUGGGGUGCCCGCAAGGGAGCGUGGAGACAGGUGGUGCAUGGCUGUCGUCAGCUCGUGUCGUGAGAUGUUGGGUUAAGUCCCGCAACGAGCGCAACCCUCACCCCUAGUUGCGACCGGGUUACGCCGAGCACUCAAGGGGAACUGCCAGCGUCAAGCUGGAGGAAGGCGGGGAUGACGUCAAGUCAUCAUGCCCCUUACGCCCUGGGCUACACACGUGCUACAAUGGCCAGUACAAAGGGACGCGAGACUGCGAAGUGGAGCUAAUCCCAAAAAGCUGGUCUAAGUUCAGAUUGCAGUCUGCAACUCGACUGCAUGAAGGAGGAAUCGCUAGUAAUCGCGUAUCAGCCUGGCGCGGUGAAUACGUUCCCGGGCCUUGUACACACCGCCCGUCACACCACGAAAGCUGUCUGUACUCGAAGUCGCUGAG